This 784-nucleotide ribosomal RNA is filed under the name Hyalinobatrachium munozorum. RNAcentral's name for it is "partial 16S ribosomal RNA". It matches the Rfam family "Bacterial large subunit ribosomal RNA", at positions 1279 to 2578 of the family's 2925-position model. The record is from RNAcentral. Lineage: Eukaryota; Metazoa; Chordata; Amphibia; Anura; Centrolenidae.
AAUAUAGAAGAUAUUAUGUUAAAACUAGUAACAAGAAGAAGAACUUCUCCUACAAUGCAAGUGUAAAUCAGACAGGACACCCCACUGAUAAUUAACACCAAUGAACAUAAAAUAGCAACCCAACAAGAAAACCCUACUACACCAUAUGUUAAACUGACACCAGAGCAUUUCAAGAAAGAUUUAAAGAAAAAGAAGGAACUCGGCAAACAUUAACCUCGCCUGUUUACCAAAAACAUCGCCUCUUGAAUAAGUAUAAGAGGUCCAGCCUGCCCAGUGACAAUGUUCAACGGCCGCGGUAUCCUAACCGUGCGAAGGUAGCGUAAUCACUUGUUCUUUAAAUAAGGACUGGUAUGAACGGCACCACGAAGGUUAUACUGUCUCCUCUUUCUAAUCAGUGAAACUAAUCUCCCCGUGAAGAAGCGGGGAUAAGAAUAUAAGACGAGAAGACCCUAUGGAGCUUUAAACUACAAGGCACUUGCCCCACAUAACCGAAUUCCAGAAAAUCACUACCACCCAGGCAAUAUUGACCCUUAGUUUUAGGUUGGGGUGACCGCGGAGCAAAAAAGAACCUCCACAUUGAAAGGAGAACACUCCUUAGCCAAGAGCCACACCUCUAAGCACCAACAAAAAGACAUUAAUUGACCCAAUAUUUUGAUCAACGAACCAAGUUACCCUAGGGAUAACAGCGCAAUCCACUUCAAGAGCUCCUAUCGACAAGUGGGUUUACGACCUCGAUGUUGGAUCAGGGUACCCCGGUGGUGCAGCCGCUACCAAAGGUUCGUUU